GAAGCUAGGGAGCAACAGGAUAGAUACCUGGUAUCCUAGCCCUAACGAUGAUUGUUGAUGUGCAGGUACCAAUCCUGCCGGUCGAAGCUAACGCGAUAACAAUCCGCCUGGGAGUACGGUCCAAGGCUGAACUCAAAGGAAUUACGGGCGCCGCACAAGCGGGGAGCAUGUGUUUAUUCGACGCAACGCGAAGAACCUACCUGGGCUCGAAAUGUACAUGAUCCGGCAGAAACGUCGGCGUCUAGCAAUAGACAUGUAUAUAGGUGUGCAUGGCUGUCGUCAGCUCGUGUCGUGAGAUGUUGGGUUAAGUCCCGCAACGAGCGCAACCCUUAUCUUCAGUUGCUACCAUUUAGUUGAGCACUCUGAGGAAACCGCCUCGGAUAACGGGGAGGAAGGUGGGGAUGACGUCAAGUCCUCAUGGCCUUUAUGUCCAGGGCUACACACGUGCUACAAUGGCCGGUACAAACCGCUGCAACCCCGCGAGGGUGAGCUAAUCGGAAAAAGCCGGCCUCAGUUCGGAUUGGAGUCUGCAACUCGACUCCAUGAAGCUGGAAUCGCUAGUAAUCGUGGAUCAGCAUGCCACGGUGAAUACGUUCCCGGGCCUUGUACACACCGCCCGUCACAUCACGAAAGUGGGUUGCACUA
RNAcentral lists this ribosomal RNA (645 nucleotides) under Granulicella sp. RNAcentral's name for it is "bacterial SSU rRNA". It matches the Rfam family "Bacterial small subunit ribosomal RNA", at positions 755 to 1422 of the family's 1533-position model. Lineage: Bacteria; Pseudomonadati; Acidobacteriota; Terriglobia; Terriglobales; Acidobacteriaceae. The record is from RNAcentral.